CCAAUAGCGUAUAUUAAAGUUGUUGCAGUUAAAAAGCUCGUAGUUGAAUUUUGGAUUCUUCCAAUUGGUCCAUCUUUUAGAUGAGUACUGGUUGUGUGGGGUCUAUCCGCCUGGUGAUACGUAAUGUCCUUUAUUGGAUGUUGCGGGUAGUCAGGACCUUUACCUUGAAAAAAUUAGAGUGUUUAAAGCAGGCUUAUGCCGGAAUACAUUAGCAUGGAAUAAUAGAAUAGGACGAAGUUGUUUUAUUUUGUUGGUUUCUAGGACAACCGUAAUGAUUAAUAGGGAUAGUUGGGGGCAUUAGUAUUCAAUUGUCAGAGGUGAAAUUCUUGGAUUUAUUGAAGACUAACUACUGCGAAAGCAUUUGCCAAGGAUGUGUUCAUUAAUCAAGAACGAAAGUUAGGGGAUCGAAGACGAUCAGAUACCGUCGUAGUCUUAACCAUAAACUAUGCCGACUAGGGAUCGGGCGAUGUUGUUUCCAUGACUCGCUCGGCACCUUAUG
Molecule: ribosomal RNA, 499 nt
Filed under: uncultured Glomeromycotina
Lineage: Eukaryota; Fungi; Glomeromycota
Description: partial small subunit ribosomal RNA
Rfam family: Eukaryotic small subunit ribosomal RNA
Source: RNAcentral